This 396-nucleotide ribosomal RNA is filed under the name uncultured bacterium. RNAcentral's name for it is "bacterial SSU rRNA". It matches the Rfam family "Bacterial small subunit ribosomal RNA", at positions 29 to 416 of the family's 1533-position model. The record is from RNAcentral.
AAUGAACGCUGGCGGCGCGCCUAAUACAUGCAAGUCGAGCGAGAAGACGUAGCAAUACGUUUGUAAAGCGGCGAACGGGUGAGGAAUACAUGGGUAACCUACCCUAGAGUGGGGAAUAACUAGCCGAAAGGUUAGCUAAUACCGCGUACGCUCCUUGGACUUCGGUUCAGGGAGGAAAGCGAUGCCGAGGGUAUCGCGCUCUUGGAUGGGCUCAUGUCCUAUCAGCUUGNGGUGAGGUAACGGCUCACCAAGGCUUCGACGGGUAGCUGGUCUGAGAGGACGAUCAGCCACACUGGCACUGCGACACGGGCCAGACUCCUACGGGAGGCAGCAGUAAGGAUAUUGCGCAAUGGGCGAAAGCCUGACGCAGCGACGCCGCGUGGGGGAGUGAAGGUC